UACGAAGGGGGCUAGCGUUGCUCGGAAUUACUGGGCGUAAAGGGCGCGUAGGCGGAUGUUUAAGUCGGGGGUGAAAGCCCGGGGCUCAACCUCGGAAUUGCCUUCGAUACUGGACAUCUUGAGUACGGGAGAGGUGAGUGGAACUCCGAGUGUAGAGGUGAAAUUCGUAGAUAUUCGGAAGAACACCAGUGGCGAAGGCGACUCACUGGCCCGUUACUGACGCUGAGGCGCGAAAGCGGUGGGGAGCAAACAGG
This 254-nucleotide ribosomal RNA is filed under the name uncultured bacterium. Its description in RNAcentral is "partial 16S ribosomal RNA". It matches the Rfam family "Bacterial small subunit ribosomal RNA", at positions 524 to 776 of the family's 1533-position model. The record is from RNAcentral.